Molecule: transfer RNA, 71 nt
Filed under: Loxodonta africana (African savanna elephant)
Lineage: Eukaryota; Metazoa; Chordata; Mammalia; Proboscidea; Elephantidae
Rfam family: tRNA
About the family: Transfer RNA (tRNA) molecules are approximately 80 nucleotides in length. Their secondary structure includes four short double-helical elements and three loops (D, anti-codon, and T loops).
Source: Rfam by way of RNAcentral
GCGUUGGUUAUUCAGUGGUAGAAUUCUUGCCCUCCGUGCGGGAGACCUGGGUUUGAUUCCUGGCAAGUGCA